UCUUAUAAUGGAUAAUAUCUGAUGUUAUGUUUCUUUCACCAGUGGAAAUUUGCUCAUGUUACAUUCAGUAAGCCAGAAUACCUCCAAGAUUCAGAUAUUGUAAUGAACAGAUUCCAUAAACAGAGACCUGUUUAUGGAGGUUGGGAACAACACCUUGGAUUGGAGCAUACAACCACUACCCCAAAAAGGUCCUACUUAGGCAACAACCAGAACCGCCAUUCUUUUGAGAAGCAUGUGAGGAUUUACAACUAAAGCUGGGAAUACUUUUUACAUGUGAUGAAUG
Molecule: long non-coding RNA, 283 nt
Organism: Zea mays
Lineage: Eukaryota; Viridiplantae; Streptophyta; Magnoliopsida; Poales; Poaceae
Exons: 3
Source: RefSeq, a predicted model, not a curated record